CGUGCCUGGCUCCACGUUACAGAGCUGGACGUGAAAAUUGGGGUCAAGUUCAGUUCAGGGGUUGACGACUAGCCUGCUGCCCAUGUGUCCUCCUGUUUCCUCUCGCUGGAGGAGGAGAGAGGUCAGCGGUGAUGGCUUUGUAACGUGACCCUUGGCUACAGCCUCCCUUCCAUCCUGCCACGGUGACAAAGCUCACGUUCCCUUCUCAAGGAAAGCCAGCGAGACCUCGGCGCACUCUUUUGAACUGACCAUCGAAUUGUUUUGGACGCAGUAACUGUGGAAUCCUGUCAGAGUCAGAUUCCUGAUAUUCUGAAUCUGUAGCCAUAAACUAAAUGGGUUUAUGAUGCUCCAUAAGAGAUAUGCAGGAUUAUAACAGCCCUCAUCCUGAGAAUAAGAGAAGGGGAGAGAAGCAGCGUUGAUGGCUCUUGGCAGGGCAUGAUACGGGCAGCGGUGCAGUCACGGGCAGAGUCAUCAUCUGGCAGCACAUUCCUGCCCUAUCUGUGCAGUAAACUGGAUCUCCUACUUCCUCUUAUCAGCUGUCAGGAAUUCUCCAACCGAGGCUCUCCCUGCUGCUCUCUCUCACUCUCUUUUCUCCAUUGCCUUCUCUCCCUUUGACAUAAAGCAAUGAUGGUUAAUGGUCAUUAAGAUAAGAGAGCGCCGUGGACAUCAGACGCCUCUGGGGACUCGCUGGAACCCAAACACGGGAGGGGAUGUGUCCCAUCAUCACCGGCACAACAUCUAACCUUCCUCAUCCUCCAUCAGCCAGCUAGUUGUCAUUAGCGUCUAGCAAAUAAGUGCUCAUUAGACAAGGAAAUGGUAUUGUGAAUGCACCCCCUAAAAAUAUACAUUUGUUAAUCAUCGGUUUGCCAAACAACUGAACAUCAUACAUAAGUAAUAUUGCUACAAAUAUACUGUAUAUGUGAAAAACUAAAAGUUAGUCAUGGAAUCUGAAUUAAAAAGAAAUCAGUAUUCAUAAUUGUCCAACAGUACAGAACAUUGUUGAAUAUUGUAUAACAUUAUUUUUAAGACACUUACAUUUAAUUUAAGUUGAAAUAACUUUGACAGCCAAUAAUGAUUAUGCUUUAAAAUGCGUCAGCAACCAAAUGUAAAGGGAUAGUUUGCUCAAA
Molecule: long non-coding RNA, 1127 nt
Organism: Puntigrus tetrazona (Sumatra barb)
Lineage: Eukaryota; Metazoa; Chordata; Actinopteri; Cypriniformes; Cyprinidae
Exons: 2
Source: RefSeq, a predicted model, not a curated record